Molecule: ribosomal RNA, 253 nt
Filed under: uncultured bacterium
Lineage: Bacteria
Description: partial 16S ribosomal RNA
Rfam family: Bacterial small subunit ribosomal RNA
Source: RNAcentral
UACGUAGGUGGCAAGCGUUGUCCGGAGUUAUUGGGCGUAAAGGGAACGCAGGCGGUCUUUUAAGUCUGAUGUGAAAGCCUUCGGCUUAACCGGAGUAGUGCAUUGGAAACUGGAAGACUUGAGUGCAGAAGAGGAGAGUGGAACUCCAUGUGUAGCGGUGAAAUGCGUAGAUAUAUGGAAGAACACCAGUGGCGAAAGCGGCUCUCUGGUCUGUAACUGACGCUGAGGUUCGACAGCGUGGGUAGCAAACAGG